RNAcentral lists this long non-coding RNA (2216 nucleotides) under Daphnia pulicaria. Its description in RNAcentral is "uncharacterized LOC124316653". Lineage: Eukaryota; Metazoa; Arthropoda; Branchiopoda; Diplostraca; Daphniidae. The record is from RNAcentral.
GCCGCCGGCAAUUCUCAGCCCCAGUCGAGUUCCCAUAUCUUUCCGGAUGACAACAUCCUGGGGCAAGCAACAAGCGAAACAACACGCAUGGUGCUGCUGCUCCUGCGGACGAAAAACCCGCAUCCGAUUGAUUGGAGAUGCUGCCGCGUAGCGAACUUCUACGCCUGGCCAUAAACUGUUCCGGCUCAUUUCCGGAAUCGAAUAUUUCUGGGUAGUCAACUUUGGGAGUGAUUGGAUAGCGCUCCACUUCCAGUUGAACGUACGGUUUGGAACGACUCAGCAAAGUUUUUCGUACUGAAAUGAUGCGAUCUCCCACUGCAAGCAUUCCGCUUCGAUCCGCCACUCCGCCUUGAAUUAUUCCCGAAACGUACACGCCCUAAACCACCACAAAUCAAAAUUAAAAAGUGAAAUUAGAUGAAGAAAUAAUAAAGAACAAUAAUAAAAUACUUCAGAGUUGGCCUGGCCGUCUCUGGACGACACGAUGAAUCCCAAUCCGGUGACGUCAUCGCGUUGCAGUUUGACUGUGAAUCGAUUCGUGUCGGACAAACUGUCGUCAUCUUCUUCUUCUUCGUCAUCCGUCCAUUUCGUCGAAUUUCUGGAGGAGUUGAACGUCUUUUGCGGUUCCAUUGGCGAUGGAUAACCGCUGGUGGUUGGCGUAGGCGUUGCGUAAACAUGCUCCGGGGGGAAUGACGUAAUGGCAGGUAACUGAAGCGGAGCCAUCAGCGAUGGAUUCAGGUGGACGACGGACGGAUUACAAGCGAAACAAUACGGAUGGAAAUGGACGCCGGUCGAAUCCAGGUGAGACGUGUGCUGGAGUCCCACGCUGCUGGAAUGGUACGGAGUUACACUCGUGAUGGGCGACUGGACUUGAUAAGAGUUGGACAUCCGUCGAACCGGAGGCGUUCUAGGUCUCAGAUAACCUUCCUCUUCCAUCGGACUCGGGUAAAUCAUGUCGUUCACAUGGUGGGAUGACAUACGUCGUCGUCUGGGCGGAUCGGGAGUCCGGCUCCUGCGAUUAUUGUCAUCUCUCCGCGAGGAAUUCAACUGGUAACUGGAUCGUGAGCGGAUGAGUGGGCCCAUAUUGGUCGCCAUUGGAACGGCCGAUUCGACCAAUCGACUGAUUUUUCGGAGAACUCGAACGUGCAAAUCGCCUCCGGAAUUCCUGAGCAGGUCGACGGCUUGAUGGUGUUCCAGGUCUGAGCAAUAAACGCCGUUGAUGGAAAUGAUUUCAUCGUCCAACUUGAGUCCAGCAGCAUCGGCCGCUCCUCCCGGCACAAUUUUCGCCACGAAAAUUCCUUCAUCUCUGCCCCGGUAUGGAAACGAUCCUCCUCCGCCGGCGACUGUCAAUCCCAGCCCGUGCUGUCGACUCCACUUCCGGCGCUGCAACCGCAAUUCGUGCACCUCCUCUUCUUGCAGUUCCACGUACGACCUCCUUCUCUGUGAAGAACUCGCCCUGUAUUUUUCCAGAAAUAUAAACCACAUGAAAUGUACACACAACAACAACAAUAGCCAUGAAUUUUUAGAAAACUACCUGGGCUGCCUUCUCGACAUUCCUUCACCGCGUAAUUCACAAACUAGAAUAGAAUUAGUUGUAGUAGCUGUAAUAAUACACCACCCCGCCCUGGGAACAAAUGAGCGUCCUCGUAACACUUAUCGAAUAUCCCAGCAACCAAAGUGAACGCCAACGCGAUAAGGCCGUUUUCGUAUCGUCUUCUCGAUAAGACUGCACACACAUACUGACUCAAACUAAACACAGUGGAAAGGUGAGGCAGCAUAUCAGCUGUAAAAACAAGAAAAUCUUAUCUCUCUCAAGUGUUGUGUGUACAUGCAAACGAAGGGGCGAGUCUGAAUUGCGUAUACAGAUUCCGGUUUCGGAAAAUGUCAAAUUCCUUUUUUGUCCACGACUGCUCUGCUGACGAAUAACAUUCCAUAAUAAAACUUUAUAUAACAGUGUGCCAGGUUGUUUGAACUUGACAAAAUUAAAUUACGUUUGAGGAAUGUAUCCUCGUUAUAUAGUUUGCGACCAUUUUUCCUCGUUUGUUGUUGGAAAUAUUUCCUCGUUACAUAAACCCAUAGAUGAAAAUAAGCCAUACAUUUCUAUUUGGUAUUCUUGCCGGUUUUGCCCUUGCACGACUUUUUCACACACUGUGCAAGUGAUUUAACUGUACACGUGAAAUAAAUAUUUUUCCAUUAUAAACGACAAAACAAAAGAAAAA